This is a long non-coding RNA of Nematostella vectensis (starlet sea anemone), 344 nucleotides long. RefSeq lists it as uncharacterized. The record is from RefSeq and is a predicted model, not a curated record. The transcript has 3 exons. NCBI's taxonomy places the organism in Eukaryota, Metazoa, Cnidaria, Anthozoa, Actiniaria, Edwardsiidae.
UGCGAGUGAUCACUCUCGCAAGGAUCACAUCACUCAUGAGUGGGUGCUGUCGUUGUAGAGCUGGGGUGUGAAUCGCUGCAUUUUAUGAGAGAAAUGGCGGACAAAUACGGGAGAAAAUUCAGCACAACGGCCGCCACGCGCAAGGUCCUAGAGGCGUGACCAAAUAAGAGGCGAAUCCCAACUCAAGCAGCUGCCAGCUUUAAAGGCAUGAUGCUAGGGCAGUAUGUAUUCAUUAAUACAGCUAAGUAACAAAAAAUUAGAUACUAGUUACAAAUAAAAACUUGUUUUAAAAAAAAUGAACCAGGCUAAUAAAAUAAACUAAAAGUAGUCAAAGACUUUGAAAA